CUGAUGGAUCUUUCAAUUGUACAUGUAAAAAAGGCUACUCAGGAAACGGAAAAAACUGCCGAGAUAUCGAUGAAUGCAUUGAAAAAUCUCAUAAUUGUCAUCAUAAUGCCUACUGCAAUAAUACCGAUGGUUCUUUCAAUUGUUCAUGCAAAAGCGGCUACUUGGGAAAUGGAACUGACUGUGAAGAUAUCGAUGAAUGUGGUGUGAGUCCUCAUAAUU
This is a long non-coding RNA of Dendronephthya gigantea, 219 nucleotides long. RefSeq lists it as uncharacterized. Lineage: Eukaryota; Metazoa; Cnidaria; Anthozoa; Malacalcyonacea; Nephtheidae. The record is from RefSeq and is a predicted model, not a curated record. The transcript is spliced from 3 exons.